ACCCGCUGAACUUAAGCAUAUCAAUAAGCGGAGGAAAAGAAACCAACAGGGAUUGCCCUAGUAACGGCGAGUGAAGCGGCAUCAGCUCAAAUUUGAAAUCUGGCUCUUUUAGGGUCCGAGUUGUAAUUUGCAGAGGGCGCUUUGGCAUAGGCAGCGAUUCAAGUUCCUUGGAACAGGACGUCACAGAGGGUGAGAAUCCCGUACGUGGUCGCUAGCUCUUGCCGUGUAAAGCCCCUUCGACGAGUCGAGUUGUUUGGGAAUGCAGCUCUAAAUGGGAGGUAAAUUUCUUCUAAAGCUAAAUAUUGGCCAGAGACCGAUAGCGCACAAGUAGAGUGAUCGAAAGAUGAAAAGUACUUUGGAAAGAGAGUCAAAAAGCACGUGAAAUUGUUGAAAGGGAAGCGCUUGCAGCCAGACUUGCCUGUAGUUGCUCAUCCGGGCUUUUGUCCGGUGCACUCUUCUAUAGGCAGGCCAGCAUCAGUUUGGGCGGUUGGAUAAAGGUCUCUGUCAUGUACCUCUCUUCGGGGAGAACUUAUAGGGGAGACGACAUGCAACCAGCCCGGACUGAGGUCCGCGCAUCUGCUAGGAUGCUGGCGUAAUGGCUGU
This 603-nucleotide ribosomal RNA is filed under the name uncultured fungus. RNAcentral describes it as "eukaryotic LSU rRNA". It matches the Rfam family "Eukaryotic large subunit ribosomal RNA", at positions 23 to 641 of the family's 3401-position model. Lineage: Eukaryota; Fungi. The record is from RNAcentral.